RNAcentral lists this ribosomal RNA (1436 nucleotides) under uncultured organism. Its description in RNAcentral is "16S ribosomal RNA". It matches the Rfam family "Bacterial small subunit ribosomal RNA". The record is from RNAcentral.
CAGGCUUAACACAUGCAAGUCGAGGGGCAGCAUGAACUUAGCUUGCUAAGUUUGAUGGCGACCGGCGCACGGGUGAGUAACACGUAUCCAACCUGCCGAUGACUCGGGGAUAGCCUUUCGAAAGAAAGAUUAAUACCCGAUGGCAUAGUUCUUCCGCAUGGUGGAGCUAUUAAAGAAUUUCGGUCAUCGAUGGGGAUGCGUUCCAUUAGGUUGUUGGCGGGGUAACGGCCCACCAAGCCUUCCAUGGAUAGGGGUUCUGAAAGGAAGGUCCCCCACAUUGGAACUGAAACACGGUCCAAACUCCUACGGGAGGCAGCAGUGAGGAAUAUUGGUCAAUGGACGAAAGUCUGAACCAGCCCAGUAGCGUGAAGGAUGACUGCCCUAUGGGUUGUAAACUUCUUUUAUACGGGAAUAAAGUGAGGCACGUGUGCCUUUUUGUAUGUACCGUAUGAAUAAGGAUCGGCUAACUCCGUGCCAGCAGCCGCGGUAAUACGGAGGAUCCGAGCGUUAUCCGGAUUUAUUGGGUUUAAAGGGAGCGUAGAUGGGUUGUUAAGUCAGUUGUGAAAGUUUGCGGCUCAACCGUAAAAUUGCAAUUGAUACUGGCAGUCUUGAGUACAGUUGAGGUAGGCGGAAUUCGUGGUGUAGCGGUGAAAUGCUUAGAUAUCACGAAGAACUCUGAUUGCGAAGGCAGCUCUACUAACCUGUAACUGACAUUGAUGCUCGAAAGUGUGGGUAUCAAACAGGAUUAGAUACCCUGGUAGUCCACACGGUAAACGAUGAAUACUCGCUGUAGGCGAUAUACAGUCUGCGGGCAAGCGAAAGCAUUAAGUAUUCCACAUGGGGAGUAUGCCGGCAACGGUGAAACUCAAAGGAAUUGACGGGGGGCCGCACAAGCGGAGGAACAUGUGGUUUAAUUUGAUGAUACGCGAGGAACCUUAUCCGGGGUUAAAUUGCAACGGAAUAUGGCGGAAACACUAUAGAUAGCAAUAGCGUUUGUGAAGGUGCUGCAUGGUUGUCGUCAGCUCGUGCCGUGAGGUGUCGGCUUAAGUGCCAUAACGAGCGCAACCCUUGCCGAUAGUUACUAACAGGUCAUGCUGAGGACUCUGUCGGGACUGCCAUCGUAAGAUGUGAGGAAGGUGGGGAUGACGUCAAAUCAGCACGGCCCUUACGUCCGGGGCUACACUCGUGUUACAAUGGGGGGUACAGAGGGCUGCUACCACGCAAGUGGAUGCCAAUCCCAAAAACCUCUCUCAGUUCGGAUUGAAGUCUGCAACCCGACUUCAUGAAGCUGGAUUCGCUAGUAAUCGCGCAUCAGCCACGGCGCGGUGAAUACGUUCCCGGGCCUUGUACACACCGCCCGUCAAGCCAUGGGAGCCGGGGGUACCUGAAGUGCGUAACCGCAAGGAGCGCCCUAGGGUAAAACUGGUGACUGGGGC